RNAcentral lists this long non-coding RNA (219 nucleotides) under Setaria italica (foxtail millet). RNAcentral describes it as "long non-coding RNA (SITA_LNC007228)". The record is from RNAcentral. Lineage: Eukaryota; Viridiplantae; Streptophyta; Magnoliopsida; Poales; Poaceae.
GUCGGAGAGGGACUGGUGGAGGUGGGACAGGCACCGCUCGUCGUCGGGGUCGGCGGCGCAGAGGAGGAAGAGCGCUGCAGCGAAGGCGGCAGCGAGGUGGUGUCAGGACAUUGGGGAACGGUGCUGCACCGCUGCUGAAAUCAAGCAGAUGUGGAGGGAGAUGCCUGCCUGCCACUGCCGCGCGAUUGCUCGCCCUCAUCCGCUGCUCGCCUACGCCGC